This 540-nucleotide long non-coding RNA is filed under the name Androctonus crassicauda. Lineage: Eukaryota; Metazoa; Arthropoda; Arachnida; Scorpiones; Buthidae. The record is from RNAcentral.
UCAAGUAGAGGUGGAGAGUGCCAAGUAUGUUACGAAGAUAUAUAAAAAACCCACAUAUGCGCCUGUUUUGAUACCUGCCUGGUCACAGGACCAUAUACAGCACAAACUCGCAAGCUUCAGAUUCUUAUUUACGAGAAUACAUACCCACAUUACGAAAUGGGAGGAUAAGAUGCAAGUGCUGACAUCCAUUUAUACCAUAGGACUAAAGUAUGACUUCACUCUGAAACAAAUGCAGGCUGUAUGGACUAAAGUAUCGAAGGCCUUACGGAAAACACCACUAGACAGUCCACACCCUCGGCAUAAUGCCGAUACAUGCCUGUACGCAGUGUACGGCCCCAGGACGACAGGAAACGGCACAGGCUUAUGGCCUACUUGCUGUGGCAGUGUGGAUGGUGCAGAUAAGGAUGGGUAAUGAGACUUAAAUGACACAGGUACAGAGACUACAUUUAUAUAACAAACAACUUCCUUUAUUAAAGAGAGAGAUUUUACAAGAAUACAUAAACUCUUGUUAUAUAUGGAGGAUAAAUACCUUUUGAUAUA